GGGCCGUUAGUAUAGUGGUAGUACAUACCCUUCGCAUGGGUAGGACACCGGUUCGACUCCGGUACGGUCCA
Molecule: transfer RNA, 71 nt
Filed under: Candidatus Microgenomates bacterium
Lineage: Bacteria; Candidatus Microgenomatota
Description: tRNA-Ala
Rfam family: tRNA
About the family: Transfer RNA (tRNA) molecules are approximately 80 nucleotides in length. Their secondary structure includes four short double-helical elements and three loops (D, anti-codon, and T loops).
Source: RNAcentral